Long non-coding RNA from Physeter macrocephalus (sperm whale), 1963 nucleotides. RefSeq lists it as uncharacterized. The transcript is spliced from 3 exons. NCBI's taxonomy places the organism in Eukaryota, Metazoa, Chordata, Mammalia, Artiodactyla, Physeteridae. The record is from RefSeq and is a predicted model, not a curated record.
GCAGGAACCGUGAACGCAGGCGCCCCUCCAUCACUUCAGAAAGAGCUCGACAGGAGAUGUGUACAGUUGUACAAAGAGUUAUGUAAAGGUGGAAGAAAAGCUUUUUGUGAACAACGCUUGACACCUGUGGCACGUAAAGGCGUGGGCACUGCGCAACAGAACGACAUAUCUUUUAGGUGCUACGGCGCAGCUGCCGUGUCAGGAGAUCGCGUGGACAAGGGUAAAUUCGGAGUGUACUGCGUGGACAACUGCGGUAACCAUAUACGGUGUAAAGGGACCGUUAAACGGGGGCGUGACUCCUUUCACGCGUCACGUCACGACCAGAUUUUGAAAUGGAUACAGAACGCGAAGCAGACGUACUGCAGUGAACUGCAGAGGAACCUCGACAAGACGUGCAAUUCUAGGGCCGGCGGCUCCCUUGGCAGAAUCUCGGAGCCCAGCCUCGAGUCGAGCAUAGCAUGUGUCCCCAGGGAUAGUCUGGAGUUUGAGAGUGACGGCUACUGCUACAACGAAUGUGGCUUUCCCGGUGUGUGUCCCGGCAAACCAGGUAAGAUUGCCGUACAGUGCGUAUACGCGUAAUGCCGUGUACACUGCGAGUCACCCCUUCUUUUCCCAGGGUAGGUGUAUUCGACUAUAUUGAGUGCCGCCAGUAAACAGGUGGAGCUGCAGAUUCUGUCUUUUGGCAGCGGAGGGACACAUUCGUGUACCAGUGAGUGUGUCUGGGCCGCUUCAAGGAUACGUGGACGUGACGUGUGAUCAGGUGCAGAACCGCAUAUAUGAAACGGAUGUUGAUAGAGAGCCGCAUACUCGAAUCGAACUGCGCACGCAUUUUAGUCAGCUAUUAUGUAAGAGACGUGUUGCUCUCUCUGUUUUAUUGCUACAGCGGGUGGUCAGGAGUACGCGAAACUGAGUGGAACGGACGUAACUCAAUUGUUGCAUGGUUUCCACCGGCCGUGCAAGCCAUACGAAACGUGCACGCAGGUGCCGGGCGAGGCCGUUAAGUGUACAGAUGAAAGCGGUAACGCACUCCACGACGGUGCCUUGAUGACCACCUUUCCUGAGCCGGAAUUUCCGACGUAUCAAAUGCUUCUCCUGUGUUGUAAACACCGCCGCAUGAUGCGCCCAUAACACUGCAUCUGAGGUCUAUGUGUUUCAGCGUUCUUGCAACGCCCUAGUUACUUUACUGCUCUAUUCUUUACCGGCGUACCCACGUAAGUCUGAGUGUAUGUGCUUUCCCGCCCUGUUGCCUUGCUGUCCUUUACGUGUGGAUUGUGGGUGACGCGAGGUGAACAAGCGGCGGUGUUUCCUUCGCCCGUGUUUGCUUCGUAGAGCACUGGUGGCUGCGCUCUGAGUCCUGGGAAUGUGUGCAAGCAGUAGAGCAGAUUGAACUUCUAGUAGUUAGGAGGGGAUAUUCCUAUAACGUAAAGCCGGAGGAUUAGCCUUGCUUUCUUUGUCCACAGAGGAAGGCUUCACAGAUGAACACUAAGGCUGGCAGCAGUGUACUGGCUUCGGACUGCUGCCGCAAGCACCGCGAAGCGAGCUGAGUAUUACUCGUAUCUAAGGCGGGUGCGGCUGAUGUGUCUGUUCACCUGCAAAGCGAACCUGCGCUUCCUUCGCAAGAGAAAAUAACAGCAUGUGACUACACCAUUCUUCCUUGCUUGGACUGAAGGCUUAAUCACUAAGAAACAUUUACCAAAGCCGUCUGUCCGCAGGUCCUGUGAGCUGACCUAUUUAGAUUAGCUUCAAGGCAGCGUCAUGCUCCAACAGAAUGCUGUUGCCCGUCCCUGGUAUGUGAUCGAGUUAUUGAAAGGUUUUUUGGGGGUUGUGCGUGUUGCUAUCUUUUUACACAGAAUACCAAGCAGGUAUGCACGACGACCUCCAACGCUGGUUGGACGCCAAGUGCAAAGUCGCCCUUGAGGAAAUGUGCAAAACUAAACACAGCUCAUUAGAGAUUUGCAAGAAA